UCGGGAAUUUUGGGCAAUGGGCGAAAGCCUGACCCAGCAACGCCGCGUGAAGGAUGAAGUAUUUCGGUAUGUAAACUUCGUAAGAAUAGGAAGAAUAAAUGACGGUACUAUUUGUAAGGUCCGGCUAACUACGUGCCAGCAGCCGCGGUAAUACGUAGGGACCAAGCGUUGUUCGGAUUUACUGGGCGUAAAGGGCGCGUAGGCGGCGUGGUAAGUCAUCUGUGAAAUCUCCGAGCUUAACUCGGAACGGUCAGAUGAUACUGCUGUGCUAGAGUACAGAAAGGGCAAUCGGAAUUCUUGGUGUAGCGGUGAAAUGCGUAGAUAUCAAGAGGAACACCUGAGGUGAAGACGGGUUGCUGGGCUGACACUGACGCUGAGGCGCGAAAGCCAGGGGAGCAAACGGGAUUAGAUACCCACGUAGUCCCUGAGCGGGCUGGCAAGGCGCAU
RNAcentral lists this ribosomal RNA (447 nucleotides) under uncultured bacterium. RNAcentral describes it as "bacterial SSU rRNA". It matches the Rfam family "Bacterial small subunit ribosomal RNA", at positions 355 to 825 of the family's 1533-position model. The record is from RNAcentral.